Long non-coding RNA from Sinocyclocheilus rhinocerous, 1117 nucleotides. RefSeq lists it as uncharacterized. Lineage: Eukaryota; Metazoa; Chordata; Actinopteri; Cypriniformes; Cyprinidae. The transcript has 4 exons. The record is from RefSeq and is a predicted model, not a curated record.
CUCAGCAACCUGUGGAAUAAGCGCACUUUCCAGAGUGAAGGACUGACAGGAACAGAAACAAAUGCUCCGGUAACGUUACUUCGCACGCACUGGAUUCUCAUGUAACGUCGCAGUGACAGCGGAGGUAACGUUACUUCGUUACAGCUUUCUUCAGUAACGACAAACUGGGUCUACCCUGACUUCGCGUUGCGCUUCCUGAAGAAAGGAAAAGCCCUGAUGUGCUUGUCACCCGAGCUGAUGGCCGGGGCUGUGAGAUGGAGCCCGAAUGUCUUCACUCAGUCCCUCUUCAGACACUCAAAGGCCGCUCUGUUUCAGCCUGAUGACGAGCCGAUUGGAUAUAAUCUUGAGCGGCGGACUCAGGAGAUGGGGAGGGAUAGGGAAACGCUACAGUAGUCUUUGCAGGGAAGGAUCGUCUUUCUCCAGAAGUAGGAAACGAGCGUCGGAGGGUUUCUGCUGCCAGUCGGCUCGCUCCUCCUGUUAUGACAUGGGACCAAAUUCAAACCAUGUGUCCUCGCACCCGGUUAGCUGCUUUUGCCCACCUCUAGCAUUAGCAGUCUGGACGGAUCCAUUUCACUGCCCCUCUCCCAUGCGGCGUUCUCAUUCUCCCAGCCCCAAAUGAGUCUCUCCGUGGGACUCCUGGCUUAAUAGGCUGGAACUUUCCAAUGUCCGGUCUCCGAAGGUGGCUGUUAUCCUCCGAGGGCCCCUGUGCGAGUUUCAAGCUCAAGCUCAUGUUAUGGGCUGGACGAGGUGCACACCAGGAUGUCAGAUGUGACGCUUCACACAGAUUUUCAUGGCAGUGUCUGAAGAGACGUGUGGAUGAGUGUGACACCGCUGAUUUCUCCACAUCAUGGAUUGCUCAGAGAUAUCUGGAGAUGCUCGUUUCAUAAGUGGAUUUAAGACGGUUGUGUGGACUAAAAUCUGCCGUUUCCUUUUACCAUGCUUUGACUGCAGAUACUGGAUUACUCGGACUGUUUUCUACUUUACGUCAUUUGUUUUCUUCUGAUUGGUCAGUACACUGUUCCAGUCAUGCUAAAAUAUACAAUACACACAGUUCUGUCAUGACGACUCUCGGAGGGAUUGGAAUGGUAAUGUACAUGACAAUAUUAAUGUAUUUGGU